This 1207-nucleotide long non-coding RNA is filed under the name Equus caballus (horse). RNAcentral's name for it is "lncRNA (ENSECAG00000045274.1)". The record is from RNAcentral. Lineage: Eukaryota; Metazoa; Chordata; Mammalia; Perissodactyla; Equidae.
GUAUGUGGAUGGAGUGAUCAUGAAGUGGAUGCAGUGAACAUUCAGUGAUUGCGGGGCACCUGAAAUGCCACUUCAGCUGCAUACAGUGUCCCUGCAGUGUUUGUAGUGCUGCCUGCAUUGUCUGGGAAUGUGGAUGCAGUGCCCAGGCAGUGUAAGCAGUGUCACACAAGUUGGAUGCAGUAUGUUGUGACAGCAGAUGCAGUGCCCAUGAAGGCAGAUGCAGUGAUCCUGCAGUGAUUGCAAUGCAUCUGUAGUGCCACUUCAGGUGGAUCCAGUGUCCCUGCAGUGGUUACAGUGCCUGGUGCACUGUCCCUGAACGUGGCUGCUGUGCCCAUGCAAUGGCUACAGUGUCACAGAGGUAGAUGCAGUAUGUUGUGUUGUAGGAAGCAGUGGCCAUGAAGAUGGAUGCAGUGAUCCUGCAGUGGUUUCAGUGCCCCCUGCAGCAUCCCCAAAUGAGAAUGCCGUGCACUUGCAGUGGAUUCAGUGACCCACAAGGUGGAUGAAGUAUGUUAUGACGGAUGAUGCAUUGCCAAUGAAGGUGCAUGCAGUGUUCCUGCACUGGUUGUCGUGCCCCCUUCUGUGUCCCUGAUUCUGGAUGCAGUGCCCAUGCAGUGGAUGCAGUGUCCCACAAGGCAGAUGCAGUAUGUUGUAAUGGAGGAUGCAGUGCCCAUGAAGGUGGAUGCAGUGAUCCUGCAGUGGUUUCCGUGCACACUGCCGUGUCACUGAAUGUGGAUGCAGUGAACAAGCAGUGGACGUACUGAACAUUCAGUGAUUGCAGUGCACCUUCAGUGUCACUUCAGCUGAAUGCAGUGUUGCUGCAGUGGUUGCAGAGCCCACUGCCCUUUCUUUGAAUGUGGAUGUAGGGCCCUUGCAGCCUCUGCAGUGUGACCCAAGGUGGAUGCAGUAUGUUGUGAAGUAGGAUGCAGUACCCAUGAAGGAGGCUGCAGUGAUCCUGCAUUCAUUGCAGUGCACCUGCAGUGUCCAUUCUUCUGGAUUCAGUGUUCCUGAACGUGGAUUCAGUGCUCAGGCAGUGAUGAUGUGUGUUGUCAUGGAGAAUGGAGUGCCCAUGAUGGCGGAUGCAGUGAUCCAGCAUUGAUGGCAGUGCAUCUGAGGUUCCACUUCAGGUGGAUCCAGAGUCCCUGCAGUGGUUGCAGUGCCUGUUGCACUGUCCCUGAACGUGGAUGCAGUUCCCCUGCAAUGGCUGCAG